RNAcentral lists this ribosomal RNA (2455 nucleotides) under Shigella flexneri. RNAcentral's name for it is "partial 23S ribosomal RNA". It matches the Rfam family "Bacterial large subunit ribosomal RNA", at positions 490 to 2925 of the family's 2925-position model. The record is from RNAcentral. Lineage: Bacteria; Pseudomonadati; Pseudomonadota; Gammaproteobacteria; Enterobacterales; Enterobacteriaceae.
GUGAACCAGUACCGUGAGGGAAAGGCGAAAAGAACCCCGGCGAGGGGAGUGAAAAAGAACCUGAAACCGUGUACGUACAAGCAGUGGGAGCACGCUUAGGCGUGUGACUGCGUACCUUUUGUAUAAUGGGUCAGCGACUUAUAUUCUGUAGCAAGGUUAACCGAAUAGGGGAGCCGAAGGGAAACCGAGUCUUAACUGGGCGUUAAGUUGCAGGGUAUAGACCCGAAACCCGGUGAUCUAGCCAUGGGCAGGUUGAAGGUUGGGUAACACUAACUGGAGGACCGAACCGACUAAUGUUGAAAAAUUAGCGGAUGACUUGUGGCUGGGGGUGAAAGGCCAAUCAAACCGGGAGAUAGCUGGUUCUCCCCGAAAGCUAUUUAGGUAGCGCCUCGUGAAUUCAUCUCCGGGGGUAGAGCACUGUUUCGGCAAGGGGGUCAUCCCGACUUACCAACCCGAUGCAAACUGCGAAUACCGGAGAAUGUUAUCACGGGAGACACACGGCGGGUGCUAACGUCCGUCGUGAAGAGGGAAACAACCCAGACCGCCAGCUAAGGUCCCAAAGUCAUGGUUAAGUGGGAAACGAUGUGGGAAGGCCCAGACAGCCAGGAUGUUGGCUUAGAAGCAGCCAUCAUUUAAAGAAAGCGUAAUAGCUCACUGGUCGAGUCGGCCUGCGCGGAAGAUGUAACGGGGCUAAACCAUGCACCGAAGCUGCGGCAGCGACGCUUAUGCGUUGUUGGGUAGGGGAGCGUUCUGUAAGCCUGUGAAGGUGUGCUGUGAGGUAUGCUGGAGGUAUCAGAAGUGCGAAUGCUGACAUAAGUAACGAUAAAGCGGGUGAAAAGCCCGCUCGCCGGAAGACCAAGGGUUCCUGUCCAACGUUAAUCGGGGCAGGGUGAGUCGACCCCUAAGGCGAGGCCGAAAGGCGUAGUCGAUGGGAAACAGGUUAAUAUUCCUGUACUUGGUGUUACUGCGAAGGGGGGACGGAGAAGGCUAUGUUGGCCGGGCGACGGUUGUCCCGGUUUAAGCGUGUAGGCUGGUUUUCCAGGCAAAUCCGGAAAAUCAAGGCCGAGGCGUGAUGACGAGGCACUACGGUGCUGAAGCAACAAAUGCCCUGCUUCCAGGAAAAGCCUCUAAGCAUCAGGUAACAUCAAAUCGUACCCCAAACCGACACAGGUGGUCAGGUAGAGAAUACCAAGGCGCUUGAGAGAACUCGGGUGAAGGAACUAGGCAAAAUGGUGCCGUAACUUCGGGAGAAGGCACGCUGAUACGUAGGUGAAGCGACUUGCUCGUGGAGCUGAAAUCAGUCGAAGAUACCAGCUGGCUGCAACUGUUUAUUAAAAACACAGCACUGUGCAAACACGAAAGUGGACGUAUACGGUGUGACGCCUGCCCGGUGCCGGAAGGUUAAUUGAUGGGGUUAGCGCAAGCGAAGCUCUUGAUCGAAGCCCCGGUAAACGGCGGCCGUAACUAUAACGGUCCUAAGGUAGCGAAAUUCCUUGUCGGGUAAGUUCCGACCUGCACGAAUGGCGUAAUGAUGGCCAGGCUGUCUCCACCCGAGACUCAGUGAAAUUGAACUCGCUGUGAAGAUGCAGUGUACCCGCGGCAAGACGGAAAGACCCCGUGAACCUUUACUAUAGCUUGACACUGAACAUUGAGCCUUGAUGUGUAGGAUAGGUGGGAGGCUUUGAAGUGUGGACGCCAGUCUGCAUGGAGCCGACCUUGAAAUACCACCCUUUAAUGUUUGAUGUUCUAACGUGGACCCGUGAUCCGGGUUGCGGACAGUGUCUGGUGGGUAGUUUGACUGGGGCGGUCUCCUCCUAAAGAGUAACGGAGGAGCACGAAGGUUGGCUAAUCCUGGUCGGACAUCAGGAGGUUAGUGCAAUGGCAUAAGCCAGCUUGACUGCGAGCGUGACGGCGCGAGCAGGUGCGAAAGCAGGUCAUAGUGAUCCGGUGGUUCUGAAUGGAAGGGCCAUCGCUCAACGGAUAAAAGGUACUCCGGGGAUAACAGGCUGAUACCGCCCAAGAGUUCAUAUCGACGGCGGUGUUUGGCACCUCGAUGUCGGCUCAUCACAUCCUGGGGCUGAAGUAGGUCCCAAGGGUAUGGCUGUUCGCCAUUUAAAGUGGUACGCGAGCUGGGUUUAGAACGUCGUGAGACAGUUCGGUCCCUAUCUGCCGUGGGCGCUGGAGAACUGAGGGGGGCUGCUCCUAGUACGAGAGGACCGGAGUGGACGCAUCACUGGUGUUCGGGUUGUCAUGCCAAUGGCACUGCCCGGUAGCUAAAUGCGGAAGAGAUAAGUGCUGAAAGCAUCUAAGCACGAAACUUGCCCCGAGAUGAGUUCUCCCUGACCCUUUAAGGGUCCUGAAGGAACGUUGAAGACGACGACGUUGAUAGGCCGGGUGUGUAAGCGCAGCGAUGCGUUGAGCUAACCGGUACUAAUGAACCGUGAGGCUUAACCUU